UGAGCAACCUGCCCUUGACCCUGGAAUAACAGCUGGAAACAGCUGCUAAUACCGGAUAUGACCUCCGAUGGCAUCAUCUGGAGGUGGAAAGCUCCGACGGUCAAGGAUGGGCUCGCGGCCUAUCAGCUCGUUGGUGAGGUAACGCUCACCAAGGCUUCGGACGGGUAGCCCGGCCUGAGAGGGCCGACCGGCCACACGUGGGACUGAGAUACCGGCCCAGACCUCGUACGGGGA
RNAcentral lists this ribosomal RNA (234 nucleotides) under uncultured bacterium. Its description in RNAcentral is "partial 16S ribosomal RNA". It matches the Rfam family "Bacterial small subunit ribosomal RNA", at positions 118 to 347 of the family's 1533-position model. The record is from RNAcentral.